UAGGAAACCACCCAGAGCAGGAGCUGCCAU
This 30-nucleotide non-coding RNA is filed under the name Mus musculus (house mouse). The record is from RNAcentral. Lineage: Eukaryota; Metazoa; Chordata; Mammalia; Rodentia; Muridae.